Long non-coding RNA from Mus musculus (house mouse), 774 nucleotides. RefSeq annotates it as predicted gene, 33831. The transcript is spliced from 5 exons. The record is from RefSeq and is a predicted model, not a curated record. NCBI's taxonomy places the organism in Eukaryota, Metazoa, Chordata, Mammalia, Rodentia, Muridae.
GUUAAACCAGUCCCAGAACCUGUUACCAUAGUCUGAAGUCUUCCUAAUAACAGGACUCAUUUGCUGGAGAUUUGGUCUGAAGUGUGGUGUUGAAGAUCCUGAAUCUUUAUAGAUGAGAAGUUGACAGCAUCCUUAGAGAGUCGAUGUCAGCUCCUGGACUCAUCCUUCAGUGGCUAAAACGCCACCAGACUGAUGUGCAUUCUGCUUUGUGCACAUGAGCACUGUAAAUCCAACGUGUCAUUUCUUUUUAACUACAUUUGCCAUAAAACCACUUAUUUUACGCGGCUGUGACACUUGCGCUGCCGGUUCACCUUCUGAUUAAUAAAGCCAUUAGCACCAGCGGGCCUGACGUUCUCCGCACAAAGGCUGGGCUUCGGAUGUCUCCGUAGGACUAAUGGCUUCUCAAAGGUGAUGUGGCACACCGAAGGCUGCCUGCUGGGGCCCUCGGAAUGCAUUUCCUAAUGUGCAUCGUCGAGAUGAAUUGAUAAAUUACGUCAGUCUGGGCUACCCUGUGGUGCGUGCUGCAUGCUGGAAGAUCCGACAAGACAGAGACUGCCCCAUACUCUCCACCCCACAGCCUCAUCAGGGCCCUGAAAAGUCAGCAAGGCUCCGUCAACAGGAAUAGCCUAAUCAGCAUCUUCUCACUCUGGCCCCAGCUGUGGGGGGCAGCUCUCUAAGGAGCCCAUUUCCAAGCCCUUGCAUGACUCUCUCCUCACACACUCUUCCUGAACCUCUGUUCUUCCCUCUCUCUAGUUGCCUGUGUUAACUGUGCAA